AACUUUUACUUACACUCAAAUCGCCGGGAACUACAAGCUAAGCUUAAAACCCAAAGGACUUGACGGUACCUCACAUCCCCCUAGAGGAGCCUGUCCCAUAAUCGAUAAUCCACGUUUAACCUUACCACUCUUAGCUUAUCAGCCUGUAUACCUCCGUCGCCAGUUCACCGCAUGAGCGCUAGUAAGUGAGCCAAAUGGCCCCACCCACCAAUACGUCAGGUCAAGGUGCAGCAUAUAAAGUGGAGAGAGAUGGGCUACACUUUCUACAUUAGAAAAGACGAAAAACUACUUAUGAAAUCUAGUUGGAAGGCGGAUUUAGUAGUAAAAAGGAACUAACAUGUCCAUUUUAACCUGGUACUGAGGUGCGUACACACCGCCCGUCACCCUCA
This 389-nucleotide ribosomal RNA is filed under the name Nimbaphrynoides occidentalis (western Nimba toad). Its description in RNAcentral is "partial 12S ribosomal RNA". It matches the Rfam family "Bacterial small subunit ribosomal RNA", at positions 875 to 1405 of the family's 1533-position model. Lineage: Eukaryota; Metazoa; Chordata; Amphibia; Anura; Bufonidae. The record is from RNAcentral.